This 366-nucleotide long non-coding RNA is filed under the name Callithrix jacchus (white-tufted-ear marmoset). Its description in RNAcentral is "lncRNA (ENSCJAG00000058228.2)". Lineage: Eukaryota; Metazoa; Chordata; Mammalia; Primates; Cebidae. The record is from RNAcentral.
CUCCACUGUCCAGGAGUGAGCAGGAAGACAGGCUACUGCUCUUUUUCAAAAUGAAGGUCACAGAACCAGUUUAAACUGCAUCCCUUUUGAAUGGGGCCAGACUCACACGAGGAGUGGUGACUGUACGAGUUAAUGUGGUUUUACUACCCAGAAGGUGAGAUUUAGCUGUCAUUUUAGAGCUCAUUUAAAACAUUCUCUAUAACUUCCUUCUAGUGUUUCUAAGAUUCUAUUUUGUAGAGUAGUUACAAUUUUGGAUUUAAGAUCCUCCCUUUUGAGCCUUUGUAAGCUAGUGUAGAGGUUCAUGAUGUGUGAUGAGUUAUAAUUUUUCUGAGGCCCAAAUUUGAGCCUCACGUGCUGUUGGAAUGG